AGCGGAACCAACAGAUUUACUUCGGUAAUGACGUUGGGAAAGCGAGCGGCGGAUGGGUGAGUAACACGUGGGGAACCUGCCCCUAAGUCUGGGAUACCAUUUGGAAACAGGUGCUAGUACCGGAUAAUAAAGCAGAUCGCAUGAUCAGCUUUUGAAAGGCGGCGUAAGCUGUCGCUAAGGGAUGGCCCCGCGGUGCAUUAGCUAGUUGGUAAGGUAACGGCUUACCAAGGCGACGAUGCAUAGCCGAGUUGAGAGACUGAUCGGCCACAUUGGGACUGAGACACGGCCCAAACUCCUACGGGAGGCAGCAGUAGGGAAUCUUCCACAAUGGACGCAAGUCUGAUGGAGCAACGCCGCGUGAGUGAAGAAGGUUUUCGGAUCGUAAAGCUCUGUUGUUGGUGAAGAAGGAUAGAGGUAGUAACUGGCCUUUAUUUGACGGUAAUCAACCAGAAAGUCACGGCUAACUACGUGCCAGCAGCCGCGGUAAUACGUAGGUGGCAAGCGUUGUCCGGAUUUAUUGGGCGUAAAGCGAGCGCAGGCGGAAAAAUAAGUCUAAUGUGAAAGCCCUCGGCUUAACCGAGGAACUGCAUCGGAAACUGUUUUUCUUGAGUGCAGAAGAGGAGAGUGGAACUCCAUGUGUAGCGGUGGAAUGCGUAGAUAUAUGGAAGAACACCAGUGGCGAAGGCGGCUCUCUGGUCUGCAACUGACGCUGAGGCUCGAAAGCAUGGGUAGCGAACAGGAUUAGAUACCCUGGUAGUCCAUGCCGUAAACGAUGAGUGCUAAGUGUUGGGAGGUUUCCGCCUUUCAGUGCUGCAGCUAACGCAUUAAGCACU
This 833-nucleotide ribosomal RNA is filed under the name uncultured bacterium. RNAcentral describes it as "bacterial SSU rRNA". It matches the Rfam family "Bacterial small subunit ribosomal RNA", at positions 65 to 868 of the family's 1533-position model. The record is from RNAcentral.